This 152-nucleotide ribosomal RNA is filed under the name cotton phyllosphere bacterium J. RNAcentral's name for it is "partial 16S ribosomal RNA". It matches the Rfam family "Bacterial small subunit ribosomal RNA", at positions 1382 to 1530 of the family's 1533-position model. The record is from RNAcentral.
UGCACACACCGCCCGUCAAGUCAUGAAAGUCGGUAACACCUGAAGCCGGUGGCCUAACCCCUUGUGGGAGGGAGCUGUCGAAGGUGGGAUCGGUAAUUAGGACUAAGUCGUAACAAGGUAGCCGUACCGGAAGGUGCGGCUGGAUCACCUCC